AUAUAUAUAAAUAUCAGUAUAACUACAUUUCCAACCAAAGCCUAAAAUAUUUGGUACUAUUCUCGGAAUCUCUCUCUACACUAGGGUUCACUACCCUCUCUUCUCGACGGUGGUGAUGGUGACGACCACAGUGAAGGCAGUACCGCGACGGAUCAAUGCUACCGGGGAAUCCAGGUGUCUAAACAGGUAACCCAAAGUCUGGUGGCUUGUUGCUGGAAGGGAUGAAAGUGUCAGCAUUGAAGGUUUAGAACAAGAAGCUCUUAUUGAUAGAUCCAUGAAUUUUUCUUCUGGUGGAUUAGAGGCUACUCUCAAUAGUCUGAGAAGCCAUUUUUUUGUUGGUGGUCGAAGAAAUGUGAUAGUGAGGUGCCUAGUGGACAUAUGUCAUACUUCAAGGAUCGGAGCCUAAGAUCUAAUUAUCAGAUAAGUUCUUGCUGAGUAGAUACUUGUUCUGCUUUUUUUGUCUACUUCGACCCUGUUCACAAACUUAGUUUGUUUUUUAGCAACACUCUUUAAGGGAUUAGCUGAGGCUAGACAAUAUCCUGUUUUAGCAUCCUGUUUUAGCAUAUGGAAUUUGAGCAACACUCUUAAGAAAUUAUUGGUUUAUUCUGAUUUGGUUCAACAGGAAUGUGCACAUUGUUCUGAAGAUUACCUGCCCUAAAGAAUGUAAUUUUGAUGUAUAAUUAUAUAUCUAAGCUGAAAGGUUGAGACUAUGUUGUUGAAAUACAGAACUUUUGGUAUCAAUCUCAUGAGUUAAGGAAAUGUUCCCUCCCAA
Long non-coding RNA from Capsicum annuum, 772 nucleotides. RefSeq lists it as uncharacterized. The record is from RefSeq and is a predicted model, not a curated record. NCBI's taxonomy places the organism in Eukaryota, Viridiplantae, Streptophyta, Magnoliopsida, Solanales, Solanaceae. The transcript has 3 exons.